GUGCUCACUUUGGCAGCACAUAUACUAAAAUUGGAACAAUACAGAGAUAGUAUGGCCCCUGAGCGAGGAUAGCACGUUCCAUAUUAAAAAAAAAAAAAAAGCU
Molecule: small nuclear RNA, 103 nt
Filed under: Salvator merianae (Argentine black and white tegu)
Lineage: Eukaryota; Metazoa; Chordata; Lepidosauria; Squamata; Teiidae
Source: RNAcentral